Molecule: transfer RNA, 358 nt
Filed under: Microcystis sp. ArG01
Lineage: Bacteria; Bacillati; Cyanobacteriota; Cyanophyceae; Chroococcales; Microcystaceae
Description: 16S-23S ribosomal RNA intergenic spacer
Rfam family: tRNA (bases 134-207)
Source: RNAcentral
AAGGGAGACCUAAUUCAGGUAGGAGACGAAAAAAAGUAGUCCCUACCAAGAAUCAAUCCCAAAAGGUCGGAGCGAGGCAAAAUUGGCUUUCAAACUAGGUUCUGGGUUCACACAAGACCUGAAUCAGGAACAAGGGCUAUUAGCUCAGGUGGUUAGAGCGCACCCCUGAUAAGGGUGAGGUCCCUGGUUCGAGUCCAGGAUGGCCCACCUGCACAGGUGGAAGAAAGAAAAGAAGCUCCGAAUCAGCACCUUAUCUUACUUAUAUAGUAAGAGAGAAUGCUGGCUCUGAGUACAGAGUCCAGAGGAACCUUGAAAACUGCAUAGAGCUAGGUGAAAAAGCCAAAAAAGAAGACCGCAA